UGAGCAAUCUGCCCUUCUCUUUGGAAUAAGCGUUGGAAACGACGUCUAAUGCCGAAUACGACCUCCUUUCGCAUGAUCGGAGGUGGAAAGCUCCGGCGGAGAAGGAUGAGCUCGCGGCCUAUCAGCUAGUUGGUGUGGGUAAUGGCCCACCAAGGCGACGACGGGUAGCCGGCCUGAGAGGGUGACCAGCCACACUGGGACUGAGACACGGCCCAGACCUCCGUACGGGAGCAG
Molecule: ribosomal RNA, 234 nt
Filed under: uncultured bacterium
Lineage: Bacteria
Description: partial 16S ribosomal RNA
Rfam family: Bacterial small subunit ribosomal RNA
Source: RNAcentral